Molecule: non-coding RNA, 47 nt
Organism: Trachymyrmex cornetzi
Lineage: Eukaryota; Metazoa; Arthropoda; Insecta; Hymenoptera; Formicidae
Source: Rfam
CAAUCGGCCCUUUUCAGGGCCACUAAACACUCUGUAAUUACUAGUGU